GACGAACGCUGGCGGCGUGCUUAACACAUGCAAGUCGAACGGAAAGGCCCUGCUUUUGUGGGGUGCUCGAGUGGCGAACGGGUGAGUAACACGUGAGUAACCUGCCCUUGACUUUGGGAUAACUUCAGGAAACUGGGGCUAAUACCGGAUAGGAGCUCCUGCUGCAUGGUGGGGGUUGGAAAGUUUCGGCGGUUGGGGAUGGACUCGCGGCUUAUCAGCUUGUUGGUGGGGUAGUGGCUUACCAAGGCUUUGACGGGUAGCCGGCCUGAGCGGGUGACCGGCCACAUUGGGACUGAGAUACGGCCCAGACUCCAACGGGAGGCAGCAGUGGGGAAUAUUGCACAAUGGGCGGAAGCCUGAUGCAGCAACGCCGCGUGCGGGAUGACGGCCUUCGGGUUGUAAACCGCUUUCGCCUGUGACGAAGCGUGAGUGACGGUAAUGGGUAAAGAAGCACCGGCUAACUACGUG
This 468-nucleotide ribosomal RNA is filed under the name uncultured bacterium. RNAcentral's name for it is "partial 16S ribosomal RNA". It matches the Rfam family "Bacterial small subunit ribosomal RNA", at positions 28 to 507 of the family's 1533-position model. The record is from RNAcentral.